CCUCUACUGAACUACAAUAAGAUUUCAGCAUUCAAUCUUUCUUCUUUUCAAAUAAUACCAAUCACAUUUCCAUGCCAUAAUUUACUUCACAAUAUUCAAAAACUCUCAAUCCUCUUAUUCAAAGAAAAUAACAAACAAAAGAAAAGAAGUAGCACCAAGCUUACCCCGGCUCACAACUAUCACAAUCUCGCAUCUUAAUUAACUUCUACAACUCCUAUAUACUUUCUCUUGAUUCUCCAGAUUUUAACCGUAAUUUUGUAAUUAAUCCCUUUUAAGAACUAAAUCACUCAUCCGUCCUCCUGAAUUUUCUAUUAUAUGGACUAUUAAUAUAUUUUAUCAAUAUCUCCUAAAAAUGAAUUAAUAUCUAUUGUAUAUAGCCGCACUCCUAUUUGUAGAGCGUCCUCGCAAAUACUCAAUUGAUACCUAUCUAAAAACUAAACAAAUUUCCACAAAGUUACUAGUUCCUCUGGCCCACCUAAUUAAUUAUUUGCUGCAUUAUUGAAUGUAGGUUCAACCAAAUCUGGUUCCAAUUGCAAAUCUUCUUCUUCUUCCUCUAGUCCAUCGACUCCUUCCUCAACUGGUUUGAGAGAUCUUCAUUAUACUCACCCAGUACAUGGACUUGAGCUUCCAGUUUCAAGAUCUGGACAUCUCGAAGUUCCAAUUGUUAUUGCUACUGACUCAUCUAUUUUGGAAUAUCUUCAAU
This 703-nucleotide long non-coding RNA is filed under the name Physcomitrium patens. Its description in RNAcentral is "long non-coding RNA (PPAT_LNC003139)". Lineage: Eukaryota; Viridiplantae; Streptophyta; Bryopsida; Funariales; Funariaceae. The record is from RNAcentral.